Molecule: ribosomal RNA, 908 nt
Filed under: Haynesina sp. S16
Lineage: Eukaryota; Foraminifera; Rotaliida; Nonionidae
Description: SSU rRNA
Rfam family: Eukaryotic small subunit ribosomal RNA
Source: RNAcentral
ACUCACGCGGGAAUCUUACCGGGUCCGGACACACUGAGGAUUGACAGACAAAUACACACACUUUUACGGUGUGUGCAUGAAAUAUGCUAGUUCUUUCAUGAUUAUGUGAUAGGUGGUGCAUGGCCGUUCUUAGUUCGUGGAGUGAUCUGUCUGCUUAAUUGCGUUUCACUAAAGGCACAUACACAUAAUAUUGAUGUGUUGUGUAAUUUAUAUUACGCAUACUCAUAUUAUAUUGUGCUUUGAAAGCAACGAACGUGACCGCAACCUCUUGUUGCCUGUAUAUAUGUGUAUUUUAUACACACCACAGGCUAUUAUAAACUAGAGGGACCGCUGUUACUUUCUUUUAAACCAGAGGAAGGUUGCGGCAAUAACAGGUCUGUGAUGCCCUUAGAUGUUCCGGGCUGCACACGUGCUACAAUGAUCAUUGCAGUGCGCAUCUCAUUUUGUUAUACACUGCUUGUGCGUAUGUGCACCAUAUAUUUAUAUGUGUGUGUGAUGUAUUGCACGCAGUAAAGCCUACUUCGAAAGUUGUGGGUAAUCAAUUUGAAGUAAUGAUUUCUCCAAAUAUAUACUGCACACUCAUAUACAGUAUCUUAUGUCCACGAAUUUGUAAUUCAUUACACUUUUGUGUGUGCAUUCGACGCUCGUAUGUGCAAUUGUCAAUUCAUGGUGGGGACAGACCAUUGUUAAUUGUUGGUCUCGGUCUUAACUAGGAAUGCCUUGUACGGGUCUUUGGUUCAACAAACCACCCGGAAUACGUCCCUGCCCUUUGUACACACCGCCCGUCGCUCUUACCGAUGGACUUCUCUGUGAGUUUGAGGGACUGGAUUUUAUAUCUAUGGAAACUCAAACGAACAGUGUGGUCUAAAGGAAAGAGAAGUCGUAACAAGGCAUCCGUAGGUGAACCU